RNAcentral lists this unclassified non-coding RNA (347 nucleotides) under soil metagenome. RNAcentral's name for it is "partial contains 5.8S ribosomal RNA, internal transcribed spacer 2, and large subunit ribosomal RNA". The stretch from base 1 to 120 matches the Rfam family "5.8S ribosomal RNA", at positions 35 to 154 of the family's 154-position model. The record is from RNAcentral.
GAUGAAGAACGCAGUAAAAUGCGAUAAGUAAUGUGAAUUGCAGAAUUCAGUGAAUCAUCGAAUCUUUGAACGCUCAUUGCGCCCGCUGGUAUUCCGGCGGGCAUGCCUGUUCGAGCGUCAUUUCAACCCUCAAGCCCCCCGGGUUUGGUGUUGGGGAUCGGCUCUGCCUCACGGCGGUGCCGCCCCCGAAAUACAUUGGCGGUCUCGCUGCAGCCUCCAUUGCGUAGUAGCUAACACCUCGCAACUGGAACGCGGCGCGGCCAUGCCGUAAAACCCCAACUUCUGAAUGUUGACCUCGGAUCAGGUAGGAAUACCCGCUGAACUUAAGCAUAUCAAUAAGCGGAGGA